Molecule: long non-coding RNA, 1237 nt
Filed under: Papio anubis (olive baboon)
Lineage: Eukaryota; Metazoa; Chordata; Mammalia; Primates; Cercopithecidae
Description: lncRNA (ENSPANG00000045607.1)
Source: RNAcentral
GGAAUGGGUAGAAAGGGAGAUGAAAGAAAUAAAGUUUUUUUGUCUUUACCUAACAGUCAUGGGAUGAGCAACUCAGCUUUGCAUGAUUAUCAGAGAAAAAUCCAAAGGCCAGAGAUUCCAUCAGUACAAAUGUCUUAUUUAUUAAAAGUACAAAGACAGACUUUGAAGCAGAAGUUUAAAAUGCCCACCUGGGAAAAACCAGAUGAAAGCUUCACGAUCCAGUUCUGUGACAGGUGAGCCAGCAGCAGGCUCCCCAUGUCUCCUAAGACACAGGCUUCCACCAGAGAAAAGAGAACAUCUAAAGUGCUUUAGUGCAACUUGUCCAAAAGUAAACUUUUUCUUUCUCUGGUGAAGAUGACAAAAGGAAAACUUUAAGUCUACUCGAAGUUUGUAGAAGUAUGACAACUCUUGCCUAGCAGGGAACCUGUGGCUGGGGCUGGCUCCUAGAGUGGCCACGAUGAUAGGAGGGGCAUACUAGGAUUGGCUCUUCAGCCAGGCCUCCAGACAGGUAUGGGGGGCACCAACUUUGUGUAACUACCUUCCCACUCAUUUUGAGAGCCACAGGGUGCUUGCUAUCUGGUGGCUUUCAACUCCCAUUGUCAGCCCUUCCUUGGAGAGAUGUAUUAGAUUAACACUUGCCAUUGAAGAACACAGUUUGGUGUCUUAUUACCUUCUUACAAAGAUCUAGAGCUGCCUUUCUCUACCAGUGCUCCUCAUGUGAACCACAGAGCAUGGGAAGUGGUAUGAGUGACUGUUUCAGCUCAUCAGAGAACAACUACUUGCAUGUAUAGUUGUUGCCGUCAGUGGUCUCGCCCCAGAAGAGGUACAGCCACUCACACAUCUUUCCAAAAUUUGUGAACUCUGUUUUGGUACAGCAAGGAUGAUGCCUGCAAAAUGCUGAGACAGGCAACCACUACAGAAUUUUUCAGGUCUAAUGUAUUAGAAGAUAUAGAUAUGUUAAAAUGUUAGAUAUGUUAAAAGUUAUCAUUGUAAUUGGAAAAUGUGUUGCUUCUUUAAACUGUGGUGGAUCAUUAUACUGAUAAAAUUUAGUAUUCACUCUAUGGGGAAAAAACCCAAGCUCUGCUCCAAACACUUUAUUUCUACAUUAAUUCUGCCACUUUCAUCUUUCCCCCUUCCCUCACCCUUUGGAAGGCUGAAAUAUUUAAGCUGAAGAGAAAAAUCUAAUUUUAAAAAUAAUUUUUGCUUACAACUUGUUUUUGAUUUUUAUAUUAUCUUU